RNAcentral lists this ribosomal RNA (492 nucleotides) under uncultured bacterium. RNAcentral's name for it is "bacterial SSU rRNA". It matches the Rfam family "Bacterial small subunit ribosomal RNA", at positions 29 to 514 of the family's 1533-position model. The record is from RNAcentral.
AACGAACGCUGGCGGCGCGCCUAAUACAUGCAAGUCGAGCGAGAAGGUGUAGCAAUACACUUGUAAAGCGGCGAACGGGUGAGGAAUACAUGGGUAAUCUACCAUCGAGUGGGGAAUAACCAACCGAAAGGUUGGCUAAUACCGCGUACGCCUCCGAGUCUUCGGGUUCGGAGGGAAAGCUGCACUGUGAGUGUAGCGCUCUUUGAUGAGCUCAUGUCCUAUCAGCUUGUUGGUAGGGUAACGGCCUACCAAGGCUUUGACGGGUAGCUGGUCUGAGAGGACGAUCAGCCACACUGGCACUGCGACACGGGCCAGACUCCUACGGGAGGCAGCAGUAAGGAAUAUUGCGCAAUGGGCGAAAGCCUGACGCAGCGACGCCGCGUGGGGGAUGAAGGUCUUCGGAUUGUAAACCCCUUUCGGGAGGGAAGAUGGAACGAGCAAUCGUUCGGACGGUACCUCCAGAAGCAGCCACGGCCAACUUCGUGCCAGCAG